CAACAUUUUAUGCUUUGCAAUUAGAAAACAGCAAUAACAUGGGUUUUGAUCAAACUUGCAUUCUUUAUUGAGAACACACAUUUUUCUGUACUAGGAUAAAGAGAUUUUAAAUAUAAAUAUGUGUUCUGGUUUGUAAUUUUACAAUAUUACCAUAUUAGGAAGUGGACUUAAAGAUUUAAAGACCCACUCUGAGCAAAAUCACCAAAAAUGUGUGAUUUUAUGUGAUUUUAUCAUGAUCUUGUAGCAUUUAUUUCAUAAUAGAAAUAAAAUUAAGCUUUAACUUGCAUUUCUGAAUAUUUCUUUAUUGGAAAAAGCUUGUUUUGCUAGCUCUGUGCUUCGCUCAAUUCUGAAGCAUCCACUUGUAGACCAAUAGAUCCAUGUACAUCUUUGUUUUCCUCGCCCAAGUGGGCUCAAGACUGUAUGGCUGGAUAUCUCCGAUACUGGCUGGUGUUUUUGUUGCACUGGUAAUGUUAGAUUGGAGUUGUGAGGGUCCGUAAACUAGUUGGAGAGCAUGCAACCAAAGGGAUGAUGGGAAAUGAGGUGUGUGGCAAUAGUCCCGCCCACUAAUCAGAGGCAAAUUUCUAAUGAACUCCUCCCGUUCUGGAGAAAGUUUUGCAAAAGAAUUUUGCAAAAUAAAUAAAUAAAUAAAUAAAAUAGAAUGGUCGUAAGAUGCUUGCAUUGAUUAGGUUUUCACUUCAUGUUUUCUGUGACGGCAUAUUCACUGUUUAAGAAAAAAAAAAAAAAAAGCAUGGUGGCCAAAUUGAUUUUAAAAUCCGGAGCAUUAGACAAUCCCACACUUUAUAGUUUUUUAGCAAUAAGGGAUAAGGAUUGGAACUCAGACAUCAGCUAUCUGUCACAAAAUGGAGUAGAAAAUGUUUUAUAAUGACCUGAAAAAGUCUAUUUUCCUAUAUAUAUAUUUAUGAUAUAAUAUGAAUGAGUGUGUCUACAGUGUAUGAAGUUGCUGUUGCCAUGGCAAUGUCAAAAUCUAGAAGACUUUACUUGUUAGAUGACCAUGGAAUAACAGUCGAUCCUGCUGCUUCUUAUUUGCAUCUGCUUUAUAUUUCUGUUUCACACCAAUCAAGACACGGAACAUAUUUAAAGAGCAAUCAGGGAUGUGCCAGGGUGCUUUUCUCUGCCUGAUGAGCCUGCCAAGACACCUUAAGAAAUGGAAGCAGAAAAGCGAUGGAUGAGACAACCGGCUUUAAUUAGCAGCCAAAACGGAGAAGUUCUCCGGAUAAAAACAGACUGAUUUAAAUGGGGUGAAGUUUAUGAAGUAUACAUGCAUUUCAUUGAAAUGUCAUUAGGCUAAUUUGUUUUUUACUAUGCUUAAUACCAGCUUCAUAACAAAGUUUUGACAGAAUUUGUACUCUGCAAUUUGUCUUUGAUCUGCUCACAUGAGAAGACUUAAAGAUCAAAAGUAUCUUGAUCUAAGUUGUUAAACUUUAUCAUAAGAGUCUGGAGUUUUGUGGGGCUGCAGGCUAUUCCAGCCAAAACACUAAAUGGAUUCACUUUCGAUUCAGUUAUGUUUUGAUUUAGUUCAUUUUGAUUCAAUUAAGGUUUAUAAAAAAGAAAAAAAAA
This is a long non-coding RNA of Oryzias melastigma (Indian medaka), 1578 nucleotides long. RefSeq lists it as uncharacterized. The transcript is spliced from 2 exons. The record is from RefSeq and is a predicted model, not a curated record. Lineage: Eukaryota; Metazoa; Chordata; Actinopteri; Beloniformes; Adrianichthyidae.